CCCGGGGCAAAUCAGUCCCAACGGACAGUUGAUUAUUCAACUUAGAUGAUAUCAUGAUAAAUUUGUUUCUGAAUUCUCAUGUUGUGGGAAGCAUUUGUUUGCUGUGGCUGCUCAUCCAUAUUUUAUUCUCUUCAAGUCUGCAACAUAUAUAAUAUAUACAUAUCCAUCACUGACUGGAUAUGAUGGGGUUUUGUAUUACUGAAGAUUGUGAUGAGAAGACUGUUUGAUAGAUUAUUAGAGCCAGUUGAUUUCCUUCAUUCACUGUGAAGGAGCGAGCCUCUAUUCUCGCCUUCUGCAGUUUCGUCAAGCAAAGACAUUCUUCAUACGUAUGUAUCUACUAGACACGUCUUUUCCGUGACAGCGCAGUAACAUUGCUACACAAACUUCAUCCCUGCUUCUUUCUUCAAAGUCUUUUUUGACGUGCUUUGGGUUGCUCGCACGCUUUAGUAUCGUGACUUGUGCCUUAACUCCUUUCAGACAACAUAUCGAGUGUGCUUAAGUGUUUUUGUAAAGAUGCAUAACCUCCAAAGAUGGGAUCUUUGGAUUGUUUAUAGAGAAGAGAAUUCUGGAAAAGAUGGGAGGAUCUGAUUGAAACAAGGGAAGAGAAAACAAGAAAUAGCGAGAGAUCGUUGCCUAGCUCAUGUUACAACUGGUGUUGCAGUAGAAGGUGGCAUCUCAUGUUACAACUGGUGUUGCAGUAGAAGGUGGCAUCCGUAGCGCUAUCGUUGUUGGUUAUGAAACCUAUGAAGCUAAAUUUUAUAAGGAGGGGAAGUUGUAGCUGAGCUUGUUGAGUAAGACUAACCAGUCAAAAAGAUUCCAUUUCAUUAGAAUAAGGUAUUUUCAUUACGAAGAAUUUGUGUUUACUGUCAAUGUUUUUCACAAUAAUGAGAUGACUACACUUACUGAUAAUUCUGCUACUAUUUCAUGGUAUUAGAUCUCAAUCAAGUUCUGCAGUGUUUCAUAUUUAAGGGUAGCAAAAUGUAUGAACCUUAGAGUAAAAUGUCUAAAUUAUCAUGGCAUGAACUAUCUGACAAAGAUGCUCACAUGAAAAUGGUACUGACAUUGCCUCCUUGAAUGGCGAGCUGUUUUUAGCAUCAAGGAGUUACAUGGAACAAACUUGUCAGGAAUCUAGCAGUUUCUUAAAUGAAAUUCAUAAUCCAAUAAAAGACAACCCACUACAGCCGCAAUAAAAAAAAAGACUAAAAAACUAAAAGAAACAUAAAAGACUGAAAAUAAGCACUGCCAGUAGAGAAUGAGGUCACUAACACUGCAGCAAUGAUCCAACCGAAGUAAACAAUUCUGCUGCCCAUCUUGAAGAGACCUGGUGGAUAUGUUGUUGCUCCUUGGUUAACCCUCAAAGCUUCAGCAAACCAGAAACAAUCUUACCAGAUCCUUCUCGGCUUGGUUCCAGAAACACCGGCGAAACUCAAUGGACUUGAGAUGCUGCAACAAACAGUGAGGAAUCAAAUCUAGUGACCAAUCGUAAGAUGGGUAAGCUUCAUAGUCAGAAAAUCCAUCAAGAAAGAUGAGUGACUCCAGAUUUGGUGAAACAUGGAGAAACUUGAGUAGUGUUUCAACAGUCCAACACGGUAGGAUAACCUCAUCAUGAAAUAAACAUAAACAUAAGAUAUGCUGCUUAUGACUGU
Molecule: long non-coding RNA, 1646 nt
Organism: Papaver somniferum (opium poppy)
Lineage: Eukaryota; Viridiplantae; Streptophyta; Magnoliopsida; Ranunculales; Papaveraceae
Exons: 6
Source: RefSeq, a predicted model, not a curated record